RNAcentral lists this unclassified non-coding RNA (208 nucleotides) under uncultured fungus. RNAcentral's name for it is "sequence contains ITS1". Lineage: Eukaryota; Fungi. The record is from RNAcentral.
UUAAACGAUUUUAUAUUUACACUCAGACAACAUAAUUAUGAAAGAAUUUUAGAAGGCUACUGGCGGGCACUGACCAGGGGCAGAAAUCCCCGGCGGCCCCUAAAGGCGGGCCCACCAAAGCAACAUGGUAUAGUUAACAAAGGGUUGGAGGUCGGGCCUGGAAGACCCUAACUCGGUAAUGAUCCUUCCGCAGGUUCACCUACGGAAA